ACCAAGUUAGCUAAGGUUUCUUAAAUUUCUAAAUAAAAAGGUCAACUAAAUGAGAGCCGUCCAAUGCCCCCAUAAGACUUGAAUUUUAUAGUUUCUUGGCAUAUUUACAUAAAGCAGGGCUAGACACCUAGUAUUCUAUAUUGUCACUUAAUUAGAGGAUUAAAAGAGCAAUCUCUAAACUUAAAUAAAUUGGCAGUAUCUUUUUCUUAACAGAGGAGUUUGGAAGAUAAUUAGAUAAGCCCCUUUAUACCUUACAAGUUUUUAUUUUUUGUGUGGCUGUAAUAAGGAAAGGGUUUCUUUAACUUAAAUUCAGGUGACAUGAAAAGACUAAAUUUGCCAGUCUUAACUACAAUGAUAGUAUUAUUUAUCUAUGAAAUAAUAUAUAAGCGGAUUUGUGAGUAUGGUCUUUGAGUAGGAAACAGGCUAGAACCAGAUUUUAAGAUAGGUUCAUAUUGUCCGUCGCUCUCAAAUAU
This 473-nucleotide ribosomal RNA is filed under the name Nullosetigera helgae. RNAcentral describes it as "partial 12S ribosomal RNA". The record is from RNAcentral. Lineage: Eukaryota; Metazoa; Arthropoda; Copepoda; Calanoida; Nullosetigeridae.